CUGCUUCUGUAUAUCUGAAUAGAGAGAGCGAGGAGGUCGGCGCUACAGAGCAGCCACAGGCGCGAGCCCCAAACGCUUGCUCCUGCCACCAGUUCUUCGGAGAGACUUGGAUCAGGCGGUGUUUGCAACAGAGAGAGAAAACCCGCUCUUCUCUGCGGAGGGAAGGAAUCCCAAACUCUUCCUAAGGUGGUCUGAGCCUGAAAAGCAAACCUAUGAAUUCGUGGAUAGUUUUGGCACAGAUGCACCAUUUUCAAGUGUCCCCCACACCACAUCACGGCAGAAUUUUGGUCUUCUGACUAUACCAUCCAGCUGCUCUCUAUGGAAAAGAAGUUGGAUUCUCUCAAGGAAGAUUCUAUCACCUGCAGCGGAGCACAGCACCUGAGAGAAAGGAGUAGGCCUUGCCAGCUACUUCUCAGAACACAGGAAUGAAGACUCUCUGAUAUCCUGCUGUGUCAUCCAGCUGACUACACAGGACCAAUGGGCUACAGACAGCACAUCUACCAUGUUGGCAGCAAAAGGAGAGCAGAGGAAUGCAGUUGGAAGAGUGACAUUUCUGGACAGGGUGAAAAAUGGUGGAUGGAAUUGGAGACGCUCAUUCAGCUGAUGUGGGAAACAGAGGGUAAG
This is a long non-coding RNA of Herpailurus yagouaroundi (jaguarundi), 624 nucleotides long. RefSeq lists it as uncharacterized. The record is from RefSeq and is a predicted model, not a curated record. Lineage: Eukaryota; Metazoa; Chordata; Mammalia; Carnivora; Felidae. The transcript has 4 exons.